This 253-nucleotide ribosomal RNA is filed under the name uncultured bacterium. Its description in RNAcentral is "partial 16S ribosomal RNA". It matches the Rfam family "Bacterial small subunit ribosomal RNA", at positions 524 to 776 of the family's 1533-position model. The record is from RNAcentral.
UACAGAGGGUGCGAGCGUUAAUCGGAAUUACUGGGCGUAAAGCGUGCGUAGACGGUUAUUUAAGUCGGAUGUGAAAGCCCCGGGCUCAACCUGGGAAUUGCAUUCGAGACUGAAUAGCUAGGGUACGGUAGAGGGAAGUGGAAUUUCCGGUGUAGCGGUGAAAUGCGUAGAUAUCGGGAGGAACACCUGUGGCGAAAGCGGCUCACUGGACCACAACUGACGCUGAGGCGCGAAAGCUAGGGGAGCAAACAGG